ACUAACCCAAACAAGAAACUCCAAAAUGAAUAGAAAGCACCAACAUCAUUCGAAUAAUAUUCUUGGCAAAAAUUGCACCUCACUUUUUUAGAACCGCAAUUUCUAGCUCUUUUAUUUUGGAACGUUACAAUAAUUAGUAGUAAGAUUUGGAGGAAGAGGCAUUGAAACCCAUACCGUCAGAUUACUAGUACUUGGGUGGAUAUGUCCAACUCAACCUAAUUCCAUCAAAGUCCCUUCUUGAG
Molecule: long non-coding RNA, 242 nt
Filed under: Nicotiana benthamiana
Lineage: Eukaryota; Viridiplantae; Streptophyta; Magnoliopsida; Solanales; Solanaceae
Description: long non-coding RNA (NBEN_LNC011277)
Source: RNAcentral